RNAcentral lists this ribosomal RNA (465 nucleotides) under uncultured bacterium. Its description in RNAcentral is "partial 16S ribosomal RNA". It matches the Rfam family "Bacterial small subunit ribosomal RNA", at positions 338 to 795 of the family's 1533-position model. The record is from RNAcentral.
CCUACGGGUGGCAGCAGUGGGGAAUAUUGCGCAAUGGGCGAAAGCCUGACGCAGCGACGCCGCGUGAGGGAUGAAGGUCUUCGGAUCGUAAACCUCUGUCAGCAGGGAAGAACGGUCACUGUGCUAAUCAGCAGUGAAUUGACGGUACCUGCAAAGGAAGCACCGGCUAACUCCGUGCGAGCAGCCGCGGUAGUACGGGGGGUGCGAGCGUUAAUCGGAAUUACUGGGCGUAAAGCGCUCGUAGGCGGUAUGUCAAGUCAAGGGUGAAAUCCCCGCGCUCAACGUGGGAACUGCCUUUGAAACUGGCAAACUUGAGUGUGUGAGAGGAUAGUGGAAUGCCAGGUGUAGGAGUGAAAUCCGUAGAUAUCGGGAGGAACAUCAGUGGCGAAGGCGACUAUCUGGCACCUAACUGACGCUGAGGAGCGAAAGCGUGGGUAGCAAACAGGAUUAGAUACCCUAGUAGUC